ACUUGAACAGGCUGUUGCUGGUCACCCUAGGGGGGCAUGUGCACGCUUGUCAUCUUUAUUUCUCCAACUGUGCACACACUGUAGACCUGGAGGGUUUUUGAUUCAUUCGAGUUGGCACUGCAGCGCUUAAAUUAACAUAGUCUGCUUUGCCUUUGCCUUUUCAGGUCUACGUCCUUUUACAAUCUCAAAUAUGUUUAGAAUGAUAAUAAAGUUUAAAUAUAACAACUUUCAGCAACGGAUCUCUUGGCUCUCGCAUCGAUGAAGAACGCAGCGAAAUGCGAUAAGUAAUGUGAAUUGCAGAAUUCAGUGAAUCAUCGAAUCUUUGAACGCAUCUUGCGCUCCUUGGUAUUCUGAGGAGCAUGCCUGUUUGAGUGUCAUUUCAAGUUCUCAACCGCAUCAAUUUCUUCUGAUUGGUGUGGCUUGAAUGUUGGGGGUUUUAUUUUGCAGGCUUCUUCUUUCUAGGAGGAAAUCGGCUCCCCUGAAAUAGAUUAGUAGUAUAUCUGUCUGAGCCUACUACAAAGGUGUGAUAAAUUAUCUAUGCCUUUUCAUAGUAUGGACGACUGCUUCUAACAAGUGGAAACACCUUUUAUGACAAAUUUGACCUCAAAUCAGGUAGGACUACCCACUGAACUUA
Molecule: ribosomal RNA, 634 nt
Filed under: Inocybe fuscescentipes
Lineage: Eukaryota; Fungi; Basidiomycota; Agaricomycetes; Agaricales; Inocybaceae
Description: eukaryotic LSU rRNA
Rfam family: 5.8S ribosomal RNA (bases 224-377)
Source: RNAcentral